This is a non-coding RNA of Mycena rebaudengoi, 105 nucleotides long. The record is from the annotation of a GenBank genome assembly. NCBI's taxonomy places the organism in Eukaryota, Fungi, Basidiomycota, Agaricomycetes, Agaricales, Mycenaceae.
GGCAAGAUGGCCGAGCGGUCCAAGGCGUGUGACUCAAGCGAAAGCUUACCCUAUCAGGGUUUCUCAUCAUGUAAUGUGGCGUGGGUUCGAAUCCCACUCUUGUCA